This is a small nucleolar RNA of Nannospalax galili (Upper Galilee mountains blind mole rat), 93 nucleotides long. RefSeq annotates it as small nucleolar RNA SNORD116. NCBI's taxonomy places the organism in Eukaryota, Metazoa, Chordata, Mammalia, Rodentia, Spalacidae. The record is from RefSeq and is a predicted model, not a curated record. The transcript has a single exon.
GAAUUGAUGGUGAUUCCAAAUCAGUCAUUCCUUGGAAAGCUGAACAAAGUAAAUAAAAAUGCCCCACUAUCGCUCUGGUCAUGACUGAGGUUC